AUAGGACUGCUGGGCACACACCUGUAGUCCCAGCUACUUGGGAGGCUGAGGCAGGAGGAUUGCUUGGAUCCAGGACUUCUGGAUUGUAGUGUACAAUGCUGAUCAGAUGUCUGUGCUAAACUUGGCUAAACUGUGCUAAACUGUGCUAAACUUCUUGGAAGCAGGAAACCACCAGCUUGUCUAAGGAGGGGUGAACUGGCUCAGGUUAGAAUAGGAGCAGCUCAAAACUCCUGUGCUAAUCAGUAGUAGGACCUUGCCUGUGAAUAGCCACUGCACUACAGCCUGGGAAACAAGUGAUCUGCCUGUCUCAGCCUCCCAAAGUGCUGAGAUUACAGGCAUGAGCUAGCACACCCGGCCUCAAAGUGCACUUGAUGGGACUGUCAUGGUAGUGUGCAAGGGAGGGGACCAUAGUGGUGCUAACCUGGCCACCUAAUGUAUGCAGGCUCAGGCCCACACUACCCUGACCACCUCUUUGGGCCGGAGGGAGUCGAUAGGACGGCAAAAUGCCUAGGAAGCCAGCACACGGAUAGCACCUCCACAGGAACUUUAUUCCUCUGGCCAUGGUCUAUAGGAAACAGGUUAUGGGUUCCUCUCGUGGGGCACAGACUCUUCAUUGCCAGAGUCAUUCUCUGCAUCAACUUGGGGUCUGGGAACAGGCUGGAACUUGAGUAAGACAGGUGGGGAAAAGAUGGAGGCCCUCACAGCAGAGUCUGGUGUCUCAUCAGCGUUAGGGGAGUCACUACAGGCCGAGAUCCUGCAGAAGAGACAUGCGUGACUUGCCUGUAAGGUGGGACACCAGCACAUAGGUACACAUGAAAAAACCCCAGGCUAUAGGCCCCUCCUAAUAUAUUUCUACUUCUAGAAACCUCUCCCAUGCAUGUGUUUUCAAGGCUGUUCACCGCACCAAUGUCUGUAAUUGUAAAAAACC
Long non-coding RNA from Sapajus apella (tufted capuchin), 928 nucleotides. RefSeq lists it as uncharacterized. The transcript is spliced from 2 exons. The record is from RefSeq and is a predicted model, not a curated record. Lineage: Eukaryota; Metazoa; Chordata; Mammalia; Primates; Cebidae.